GGAAGUAAAAAGUCGUAACAAGGUUUCCGUAGGUGAACCUGCGGAAGGAUCAUUUCAGUAUUCUUUUGCCAGCGCUUUAUUGCGCGGCGAAAAACCUUUCACACUAUGUUUUUUUAUUUGAAACUUUUGCUUUGGUCUGGCUUUGAAAUAGGUUGGGCCAAAGGUUUUUAUUCAAACUUCAAUAUUUUUAUUGAAUUGUUUUUUUUAUUUUAUUGUCAAUUUGUUGAUUUAAUUCAAAAAUCUUCAAAACUUUCAACAACGGAUCUCUUGGUUCUCGCAUCGAUGAAGAACGCAGCGAAAUGCGAUAAGUAAUAUGAAUUGCAGAUUUUCGUGAAUCAUCGAAUCUUUGAACGCACAUUGCGCCCUUUGGUAUUCCAAAGGGCAUGCCUGUUUGAGCGUCAUUUCUCUCUCAAAUCUUCGGAUUUGGUUUUGAGUGAUACUCUUUGUCAGACUAAGCGUUUGCUUGAAAUGUAUUGGCAUGAGUGGUACUAGAUAGUGCUGAACUGUUUUCAAUGUAUUUGGUUUUUCCAACUCGUUGAUAUCGGUAAAGUAUUUGUUUUUUUCACAGGCUCGGCCUUUCAACAACAAACAAAGUUUGACCUCAAAUCAGGUAGGA
This 616-nucleotide ribosomal RNA is filed under the name Dujonia boleticola. RNAcentral's name for it is "eukaryotic LSU rRNA". The stretch from base 248 to 401 matches the Rfam family "5.8S ribosomal RNA". Lineage: Eukaryota; Fungi; Ascomycota; Pichiomycetes; Serinales; Debaryomycetaceae. The record is from RNAcentral.